GUACUUACUUUCAGAACUCCUACCCACUACCAUUGAGAAAAGCACAUAUACUAAAAUUGGAGCGAUACAAAGAUCAGCAUGGCCCUUGUACAAGAAUGACACCCAGUAUUUGUUUACUGUUCUUUU
Small nuclear RNA from Mustela putorius furo (domestic ferret), 126 nucleotides. Lineage: Eukaryota; Metazoa; Chordata; Mammalia; Carnivora; Mustelidae. The record is from Ensembl.